This is a long non-coding RNA of Ictalurus punctatus (channel catfish), 1057 nucleotides long. Lineage: Eukaryota; Metazoa; Chordata; Actinopteri; Siluriformes; Ictaluridae. The record is from Ensembl.
UUUCUUCAUCUGCCCACACGUAUUUAAUCUGUAUUACAAGUACUGAACAAGUUAGAGGAAGAGAAUUCUUCCUUCUGCUAUGGAAAGCCAAAAAAAAAACAGCAAAUACACACACACACACACACAAACACACACAAAUAAAUAAAUAAAUUCCUCUCUGACUCCGAGGAGCCAGAAGGCUGUGCUAAAAACUGAGAGCAGCAUAUACAGAGCUGCUUGAAGUGACUAAUAAGGCUGGAUGAGAUUUUUUCUCCCCAGUGAAGGUGAAUCCCUCACACUGCAGAAAACUCCCCUUUCUUCCAGAAGUGCAUGACAAAAUAUCAGCCUUCUGGUGAAAAACCAUGCAUAAGCCAUAUUUAUAACCCCACGAUGUUGGAUUAUUCAGCCAUUGUGGGGAAUGAAGGGCACGGCUAUUUAGCUAUGCUGAAGGUGGAGGAGGCGCUUGUGAGCUACCUCUCUCCAUCGACGGCAGGUAAUUUGGGGGGCAGCUUUGCCAUCCCAGCCAUGUAAGGCCACCAUUUCAUUUGUGGGCAAGGCCUAUGCAGUAGUAGUCUUGCUUGUGGGUCACUGCAGACAAUGACAGUGUUGCAGGCCUGCCAAGCAGACCUACUGAGUGAGCUCGACAUAUUGCGGCAUUCAGACAGUUUCUUCUCUGUUGUCUCGAGUUCACCAGGGCGUCCACCCGGACCAGCGCUAGUGCAACGAAGGCACAGAAGAUCCCACACUCUGAAGAUACUGUAUGUAUGGUGCAGCUUAAGGCGUCUGGAUUUGGUCAGCGGCAACAACAACUGGUAAGUGUUUCUUUCUGGAUUUUUUAGUUGAAACCAGUUUUAGCACCGAUUGUCAGAUAGAAGCUGUAACCGCACUUCCUUGUUGCUACGAGCUGUGUACACAUUGCUAGAUUAAGGCUAAUUCCAGUAUUCAUAUCCGGUUCCGGUCGGGAGUCGCUUGUUCACGCGACUACUCUUUGUUUUGCUAAUUAAAGAGGUGUGCUGAGCUGUGAAGCACCGCAGUAGUUAAGAAUUAAGGAAAGCUGAGGCAGACGUGUCAGGGGAAG